AUCUUUGCGCUUGGGGCAAUGACGUAGCUAAUGAGGUAAUAACUGAGGCGCGUCUAUUGCUGGUUGAAAACUAUUUCCAAACCCCCUCUGGGCCUGAGCUUGCCUUGGGCCUUUGAGAAUUUCUGGAAGGGCUCCCUUUUUGGGUAAAGCCCUACAAUAUAGUUUAAAGUUGAUAUAAUUUCCUUGCUAUUAGUGCGCCCGCAUUCUAAUAUUUAUUGAGUUGUCUAACGUGCAUCAAUCAGUAAAAUUAGAAGUUAGUCAAAAGUUAAGGGUAUGCUUAGGUGAGUAAUUGCUGUGAAACUCAUUUAGUCUCACAUCACAGUUACAUAAUAGCAAACCUUUUGGUUAUACUGAUUUCAUUGGAGCUUCAUUAGUGUUGGAAGCAAAAUUUAAGGCUAUUCUCCGGGGCAUUGUUAUCUAGUAAUUAUACAAGGUGGGGACUGAGUCAUAUUCCCUUAUUGCAACUCGAUUAGUUCCGUUGCAGUGCGUUUCCUCUCAUCAUAAUUUAUUUAAU
RNAcentral lists this small nuclear RNA (514 nucleotides) under Medicago truncatula (barrel medic). Its description in RNAcentral is "lncRNA gene50493". The stretch from base 1 to 151 matches the Rfam family "U4 spliceosomal RNA". The record is from RNAcentral. Lineage: Eukaryota; Viridiplantae; Streptophyta; Magnoliopsida; Fabales; Fabaceae.